AGGCUUAACACAUGCAAGUCGAGCGGGCGUAGCAAUACGUCAGCGGCAGACGGGUGAGUAACGCGUGGGAACGUACCUUUUGGUUCGGAACAACCCAGGGAAACUUGGGCUAAUACCGGAUAAGCCCUUACGGGGAAAGAUUUAUCGCCGAAAGAUCGGCCCGCGUCUGAUUAGCUAGUUGGUGAGGUAAUGGCUCACCAAGGCGACGAUCAGUAGCUGGUCUGAGAGGA
Molecule: ribosomal RNA, 230 nt
Filed under: Bradyrhizobium sp. KFR10
Lineage: Bacteria; Pseudomonadati; Pseudomonadota; Alphaproteobacteria; Hyphomicrobiales; Nitrobacteraceae
Description: partial 16S ribosomal RNA
Rfam family: Bacterial small subunit ribosomal RNA
Source: RNAcentral